This 63-nucleotide transfer RNA is filed under the name Paruterina candelabraria. Its description in RNAcentral is "tRNA-Trp". The record is from RNAcentral. Lineage: Eukaryota; Metazoa; Platyhelminthes; Cestoda; Cyclophyllidea; Paruterinidae.
AUAAGAUUAAGUUAAUUAAGACUGUAUGUUUUCAAAACAUUUAGAGAUUUAUAUCAUCUUAUG